GCUGGUGAUGGGAUGGUGUGGCGCUCCUGCUGUGGGUGUCGCCAGGAGGCUCUUUGGAUUCUUUGGGAAGGGGUGUCACCCGGUCAGGUGGUACGCUCCCCGGUCACUAGCGGUAUACACGGGAAGUGGGGUGAACACCUGCUGCUCAUGGUACCGAGUGAUUCUUGCCCGAGUGGGCAGCUGGGCAGACGCCCUUCUGGGUCUUGGAGUCCAAAGAACUGCAGAGUAGCCCAAGGGGUGUGGGUCAGUUUUGAGUGGGAGCCAAGUCUGGGAGCCCGUGUGCAUCAUGUUUGGGUCAGGUUGGCUUGGCCACCACUGAAAUAAGCAAUAAGUCCGGGCUCCUGGUACCUGCGGAUCUCCUGCAGACAGGCCCAGAGAACAGCCUUGAAGCCACCUUUCCCCUCACGGGGACUGACCCUGUCUUUAAUGCUGCAGUGGCAUCCAGGAUCAGUGGAAUGUUGCUUUGAGAACCCUCCUGCCUGUUACAGAGGCAGCACAAAGCUGGUGCCCCCUGGGCCAACACGGCACUGGGAUGGCUUUCUAGGACAGAACUCUGUUGGUGACAGUCACAUCUCAAACUAAUAGCUGAUUUUAAAAGCCAGCAGCAGCGACGCCACGUACCUGAAUACAGGUGGCAGUUGCAGAGCCGUGGGCUGUAGAGGGUCAGAUGGGCCUUCCCACAGGGGAACCCUGGGGGCGCUGCAGCUCAGGGUGACUCCCGGCUCUGUCACUAGCAGGGAGGGCAACCCCUUCCUUCUGGAGCCUUAGCUCUGAAAGCCCCCAGCGGGGGUGCCCUUUCAGAUGCCCCCUUUCCAUUUCGAAGGCUCUGAUGCUUGAUCUUGAAGCCAGACGCGGCACUGGCACUCGGCUUCCGUUUCCACUGUGACAGACGGAGGUCUCCUUUCUAGCCCCAGCCCAGCGGCCAAGCCCAUCCUGGCCUUAGAACAUGCUGAGCACAUUUUGUAGGGUGGCACCUUUCUAUCCAAGUUACUAGCUACACGUCAGUGUUUAAAGAGAAAAAAGUGACCUUUCAUUUUUUUUUCUUGAAACUUGAGGAAACAAGAUACAUACUACUGAUUUUUUUUUUUUUUUCUUAAAGAAAACUAAAUGCAUGACUGCAGAGCGGUAGAGGUGUAUAUUUUUCAUACCGUGGGGGGAAAGUAUUUGUGCUGCUUUUUGGAGAUGGACUGGAACGUCUGGUUUCUGUCCCCGGGCCCGGCAGCUACGUCUUAUUUUCUGUAGAAGGUGCCACAGUGAGACCUGGAGCCACCCCUUCCUGCCCUGGCGCCGUUUAGAGCUGGGAGCCUGUGGACUCCCGGCCUGUUUCUACCUUCUAGUCAACCACUCUGACGUGGGGAGACAAGAAUAGAACUUUUUGAUAGUGUGGUAAAAACAUUGAUUUGAACUAUUUUAGUAAAAGGAGUAAAAACAAGAUUGUGAUAGUGUCUACUUUGAGCUAGAUAAAUAAAGGCCUCUUUGUGAGCCUCCUGGCUGGGUGCUCAGUGCUUGUUUCCGUCACGGGUGGCAGGGUCAGCAGGCAGAGACAGGGCCAAGGCCCCUCAAGCACCUCAGAUGGGGGCUCAGUCGGGGCCCCUUCCACAGACACAGCCCUGGCCCCUCAAGGUGGAUGGUGAGGCCGCUGCUCCUCCAGCUGCCUCCGUCUCAUCGCAGGCCAGAAGUGGAAAGGGUUUCAAACGCAAGCCUGUGUUCCUGUGUGUGUUCUAUGCAGCAAGGCUUAAAAGUUUCCAGCUGGUUUGGAACUCAACCAGGUCCUCCAAAGGAAACCAAGGCAGGCAGAGGAUGGGUGCAGGCUGGCUUGGCAGGCGAAUGUGCCGAUCCACCCAGAGUGCCCUGGGAGGCCGUGGGGUUGGCGCUGGCUCCUGUGAACUGCAGCCAGGCCUCUCCCGGUACCCAGGGUCCGAAGGAGGGCUGCUACAAACUUUAUCACCCAGGGACUGCGAAGGCCUGGAGCCCUACCUUCCACCCAUUCACAAAGAAAGGGAUAGUUUCAGAACUGCUUUUAUUUGGAUAACUGACUGAAGGAGUCUCAUUUGUAACCAAGAUGGAAUUCACAGUAUGUUGUUACAUUCACACUUAAAAAAUAUAUCUCUAUGUACAGGAAUUUGCAAAUAGAUGUAAACAUACAUUACUUUCCAAGUACAUUUCUCCCCUUCUCCUUGGAGGAAAAAAAAAAGCCAUCCAACGAGGCAACCCCUUCAAAAUAAUUUUAAUACAAAGGAUGCAAACAUCUA
This is an RNA transcript of Mandrillus leucophaeus (drill), 2252 nucleotides long. RefSeq lists it as uncharacterized. The transcript has a single exon. NCBI's taxonomy places the organism in Eukaryota, Metazoa, Chordata, Mammalia, Primates, Cercopithecidae. The record is from RefSeq and is a predicted model, not a curated record.